Molecule: transfer RNA, 73 nt
Filed under: Acidimicrobiaceae bacterium
Lineage: Bacteria; Bacillati; Actinomycetota; Acidimicrobiia; Acidimicrobiales; Acidimicrobiaceae
Also listed under: 2 other names
Description: tRNA-Ala
Rfam family: tRNA
About the family: Transfer RNA (tRNA) molecules are approximately 80 nucleotides in length.
Source: RNAcentral
GGGGGUGUAGCUCAGUUGGCAGAGCGCAGCAAUCGCACUGCUGAGGCCCGGGGUUCAAUUCCCCGCACCUCCA